AAGACUAUACUUUCAGGGAUCAUUUCUAUAGUUUGUUACAUUGAUUAUGAUAUAUACCAUAUGCAUUGCAUAUACCACAAUUGAUGUGCAUAUAUGUAUA
RNAcentral lists this small nucleolar RNA (100 nucleotides) under Ursus thibetanus thibetanus. RNAcentral's name for it is "Small nucleolar RNA U3 (ENSUTTG00000010716.1)". The stretch from base 1 to 41 matches the Rfam family "Small nucleolar RNA U3", at positions 1 to 41 of the family's 219-position model. Lineage: Eukaryota; Metazoa; Chordata; Mammalia; Carnivora; Ursidae. The record is from RNAcentral.